UACGUAGGUGGCAAGCGUUGUCCGGAAUUACUGGGCGUAAAGGGCGCGUAGGCGGCGCUUCAAGUCGCGUGUGAAAGCCCCCGGCUCAACUGGGGAGGGUCACGCGAUACUGAUCGACUCGAAGGCAGGAGAGGGUAGUGGAAUUCCCGGUGUAGUGGUGAAAUGCGUAGAUAUCGGAAGGAACAUCAGUGGCGAAAGCGGCUUCCUGGACCAGAACUGACGAUCAGGCUCGAAAGCGUGGGGAGCAAACAGG
Molecule: ribosomal RNA, 253 nt
Filed under: uncultured bacterium
Lineage: Bacteria
Description: partial 16S ribosomal RNA
Rfam family: Bacterial small subunit ribosomal RNA
Source: RNAcentral